RNAcentral lists this long non-coding RNA (230 nucleotides) under Ananas comosus (pineapple). RNAcentral describes it as "long non-coding RNA (ACOM_LNC036402)". The record is from RNAcentral. Lineage: Eukaryota; Viridiplantae; Streptophyta; Magnoliopsida; Poales; Bromeliaceae.
UGUUUAUCAUUUUUGGGGUUAGGGAUGACGAUAGAGUCUGUUUGAUUCAUGUUAUUCCGUUAGAAUUAUAAAGUACUUGACAAUAAUCUUUUUCAGAUAACUGUAUUUGGUUCAUACUGCGAGUAAUUCGAUCAGUAAUACAACAUUAUUAAUAGAAUAAGACAUUUCCAAAAUAUUAUCAACGAGGAGGGUGAGUAUCUUAUAUUACUGAAAGAAAGUUAUAUGCAAAA